GACAGAGGGCUCAAACGUUGUUCGGAAUCACUGGGCAUAAAGGGCGCGUAGGCGGCUCGUUAAGUCGGUUGUGAAAUCCCCCGGCUCAACCGGGGAACGGCAUCCGAUACUGGCGGGCUCGAGGACGGGAGGGGUAAGUGGAACUCCAGGUGGAACGGUGAAAUGUGUAGAUAUCUGGAGGAACACCGGUGGCGAAAGCGGCUUACUGGCCCGUAUCUGACGCUGAGGCGCGAAAGCUAGGGGAGCAAACGGGAUUAGAUACCCCGGUAGUCCUAGCUGUAAACGAUGGGCACUGGGCAGUGGGGGCUCCUAUGACCUUCACUGCCGUAGCAAAUGUGUUAAGUGCCCCGCCUGGGGAGUACGCUCGCAAGGGUAAA
RNAcentral lists this ribosomal RNA (377 nucleotides) under uncultured bacterium. Its description in RNAcentral is "bacterial SSU rRNA". It matches the Rfam family "Bacterial small subunit ribosomal RNA", at positions 524 to 898 of the family's 1533-position model. The record is from RNAcentral.